AUGCAAGUCGAGCGGAUGAAGGGAGCUUGCUCCCUGAUUCAGCGGCGGACGGGUGAGUAAUGCCUAGGAAUCUGCCUGGUAGUGGGGGACAACGUCUCGAAAGGGACGCUAAUACCGCAUACGUCCUACGGGAGAAAGCAGGGGACCUUCGGGCCUUGCGCUAUCAGAUGAGCCUAGGUCGGAUUAGCUAGUUGGUGAGGUAAUGGCUCACCAAGGCGACGAUCCGUAACUGGUCUGAGAGGAUGAUCAGUCACACUGGAACUGAGACACGGUCCAGACUCCUACGGGAGGCAGCAGUGGGGAAUAUUGGACAAUGGGCGAAAGCCUGAUCCAGCCAUGCCGCGUGUGUGAAGAAGGUCUUCGGAUUGUAAAGCACUUUAAGUUGGGAGGAAGGGCAUUAACCUAAUACGUUGGUGUUUUGACGUUACCGACAGAAUAAGCACCGGCUAACUCUGUGCCAGCAGCCGCGGUAAUACAGAGGGUGCAAGCGUUAAUCGGAAUUACUGGGCGUAAAGCGCGCGUAGGUGGUUUGUUAAGUUGGAUGUGAAAUCCCCGGGCUCAACCUG
This 566-nucleotide ribosomal RNA is filed under the name Pseudomonas sp. M24copa1. RNAcentral describes it as "bacterial SSU rRNA". It matches the Rfam family "Bacterial small subunit ribosomal RNA", at positions 55 to 616 of the family's 1533-position model. Lineage: Bacteria; Pseudomonadati; Pseudomonadota; Gammaproteobacteria; Pseudomonadales; Pseudomonadaceae. The record is from RNAcentral.